GCAUCAGUAGUAUAGCGGUAGAAUACUUGUCUUCCAAACAAGUGGCCCGGGUUCGACUCCCGGCUGAUGCA
RNAcentral lists this transfer RNA (71 nucleotides) under Spiromyces aspiralis. Its description in RNAcentral is "tRNA-Gly". It matches the Rfam family "tRNA". Rfam says of the family: Transfer RNA (tRNA) molecules are approximately 80 nucleotides in length. Their secondary structure includes four short double-helical elements and three loops (D, anti-codon, and T loops). Further hydrogen bonds mediate the characteristic L-shaped molecular structure. tRNAs have two regions of fundamental functional importance: the anti-codon, which is responsible for specific mRNA codon recognition, and the 3' end, to which the tRNAs corresponding amino acid is attached (by aminoacyl-tRNA synthetases). tRNAs cope with the degeneracy of the genetic code in two manners: having more than one tRNA (with a specific anti-codon) for a particular amino acid; and 'wobble' base-pairing, i.e. permitting non-standard base-pairing at the 3rd anti-codon position. The record is from RNAcentral. Lineage: Eukaryota; Fungi; Kickxellomycota; Kickxellomycetes; Kickxellales; Kickxellaceae.